GGGCUGAAGUAGGUCCCAAGGGUAUGGCUGUUCGCCAUUUAAAGUGGUACGCGAGCUGGGUUUAGAACGUCGUGAGACAGUUCGGUCCCUAUCUGCCGUGGGCGCUGGAGAACUGAGGGGGGCUGCUCCUAGUACGAGAGGACCGGAGUGGACGCAUCACUGGUGUUCGGGUUGUCAUGCCAAUGGCACUGCCCGGUAGCUAAAUGCGGAAGAGAUAAGUGCUGAAAGCAUCUAAGCACGAAACUUGCCCCGAGAUGAGUUCUCCCUGACCCUUUAAGGGUCCUGAAGGAACGUUGAAGACGACGACGUUGAUAGGCCGGGUGUGUAAGCGCAGCGAUGCGUUGAGCUAACCGGUACUAAUGAACCGUGAGGCUUAACCUUACAACGCCGAAGGUGUUU
This 399-nucleotide ribosomal RNA is filed under the name Escherichia coli O157. Its description in RNAcentral is "partial 23S ribosomal RNA". It matches the Rfam family "Bacterial large subunit ribosomal RNA", at positions 2550 to 2925 of the family's 2925-position model. Lineage: Bacteria; Pseudomonadati; Pseudomonadota; Gammaproteobacteria; Enterobacterales; Enterobacteriaceae. The record is from RNAcentral.